Molecule: unclassified non-coding RNA, 278 nt
Filed under: uncultured fungus
Lineage: Eukaryota; Fungi
Description: sequence contains ITS1
Rfam family: 5.8S ribosomal RNA (bases 1-97)
Source: RNAcentral
UAAAGUGCGAUAUGUAGUGCGAUUUGCAUGAAUCUGUGAGUCAUCUAAUUUUUGAACGCAACUUGCGCCAGUAAUAGGCAUGUUUGUUCGAGGGCCGAUAUAUCAAACGGUAAUCGUGAUUUGACCUCUGUCUAAUUUGACUGGGUUGAAACAGAGUCAGUAAGUGGCAAUGGUCAUGGUUUGGUCGAGUGCUAAGCAUUCUUGACUCAACCCAUCCAUCCACCCUAAUCUCAUCAUUCUCUGGCCUCGAAUCAAGCAAGAUUACCCGCUGAACUUAA